CCUACGGGAGGCAGCAGUGAGGAAUAUUGGUCAAUGGGCGCGAGCCUGAACCAGCCAAGUAGCGUGAAGGAUGACUGUCCUACGGGUUGUAAACUUCUUUUAUAAAGGAAUAAAGUGAGGCACGUGUGCCCUUUUGUAUGUACUUUAUGAAUAAGGAUCGGCUAACUCCGUGCCAGCAGCCGCGGUAAUACGGAGGAUCCGAGCGUUAUCCGGAUUUAUUGGGUUUAAAGGGUGCGUAGGCGGUCCGUUAAGUCAGUGGUCAAAUUGAGGGGCUCAACCCUUUCCCGCCGUUGAAACUGGCGGUCUUGAGUGGAAGAGAAGUAUGCGGAAUGCGUGGUGUAGCGGUGAAAUGCAUAGAUAUCGCGCAGAACCCCGAUUGCGAAGGCAGCAUGCCGGCUUCCGACUGACGCUGAGGCACGAAAGCGUGGGGAUCGAACAGGAUUAGAUACCCUGGUAGUC
This 459-nucleotide ribosomal RNA is filed under the name uncultured bacterium. RNAcentral's name for it is "partial 16S ribosomal RNA". It matches the Rfam family "Bacterial small subunit ribosomal RNA", at positions 338 to 795 of the family's 1533-position model. The record is from RNAcentral.